Long non-coding RNA from Xenopus tropicalis (tropical clawed frog), 1819 nucleotides. RefSeq lists it as uncharacterized. The transcript has 4 exons. The record is from RefSeq and is a predicted model, not a curated record. NCBI's taxonomy places the organism in Eukaryota, Metazoa, Chordata, Amphibia, Anura, Pipidae.
CUCACUUGGCGACCUCGCUCAGAUUUUUCUCACUAUUUUUUUUCCAUGAAUGACAUUUAUCAAAGAUCUGAACAGAAAAAGCAUGUGCUGAAAAGUCCCAAAAAGGGCAACUUUUUCGACUUGUCUCACAGUUACCAAAACUUUUUCAUAUUCUUGUACAAACGUCUGUGUCAAAAACCCGAAAACCUCUAAAGAUUCAUAGCAAAGAAAGAUCCUCCAACUGUAAAAGGGGAACAUCUGCCACUGACAUGAUAUCGGCAAGUUUUAGAUGGAGUAUUUUCGGAUUCGAGGUUGUCACUGUUUUGUUGCAUAGUAAAUCUCAGAAAAGCUGCAACUUUUACCACUAAAAGUCCGAAUUGAAAAAAAAAAUGUGACUGUUAGUAGAUGAUAUGCAGCUCACGAAAGUGAUAAGAAAUCCCUAAAUCAUGUCACAGCACAGGUUCUUUUUGCAUCACUGAAUAGACAGUGUGCAUGCCCUGUGUAACUAGUGUUGCCAUCUAGUGGAGAAGAGGCGGGUCUGUGAUGUAAUGGCGGCGGGGCCAAUCGCUGCGUCAGUGUCAGUGAGUUCUGCCCGAUUCUCCUAAUUUGGGAAACUGGGCAGGAGGUUUUUUGACCUUCUAUUUGAUUAAAAUGGAGACCAUGAGAGAAAGGCUAGUGUUAAUUUGGAGCUUUCUGGAUAAUGGGUUUCCGGAUACAGUCCCAUACCUGUACUAUAGUCCAAGCAUGUGGUCUCUGUACCCACACAAAACAGAGCACACAUAUAUUUUAUGUUGGUGCCAAGCAGAGGAAUUUUUUCAGGCAAUGACUGAUUUGACAACAAGGAAGCUGAUUGAUCCUUUACUAAAAUUGCACUGGUGUGAUGAAUUCAAGACGGAGGAAGGAACAAUAUUGCUUAACUGGUGCUGUUGAAGAAGAUAACCUACAUACACUUCUCAACAGGUGUCAAAGUUUCAUGCCACAAGUGAUAUAUGGGUCCAGACUCAUGGGGCAGGGAAGGAUAUGCAUUGGAAGUUGGCAGCAGAUCCUGGGAGGUGCUACUGACCCCAUUCUCACACUGGUACUGGGAAUUUAGGGUGGAGGAUCCUGUAAUAUUGCGUGUUUCUUGAGAGAAUGGGCUGUGGUUAGAUGACACCUUCUGACGGACUGUGCUCCUUGGGACCACUGGGUACUCUUUGCUAAAGAAAGGACAAAAUUUAGUUAUUGAGUGUUAAGAACUUUAUAAUAACAAUGUUUACAGAUAUCUGGAGUGUGUAGUACAUAUUGUAGUUAAUAUUAUAGGUCAAUGACAAAAUUGAAUGAGAAGUAUUCUGCAUUCUGUUAGGCUAUCAAUCUUCUUUAUUAUUUUUUGCUUUCCUAUUUUGACUGUAAAUUUUUAGAAAAAAAAAGUCCAAAUCCACACAGGUCACUUGCAGCACGGUGGAGGGAGGGUUAAUGCAAAUAAAAAGUUUGUUAAAAUGAUGUGGCAAAAUAAUGACCAGAAUCCAAAUCCCAAUUUAAGUAUUUAAACCUAAGUAAAAUUAAAACCAUCUAAAAAGCAAAAACAGCCACAAUCAGCUGACUAAUCACAUGACUACAAAAGUUUGGAUUCGGCUUGUCCUGAAUUUGAUACACACAUAAUUUUAUUUGUUUUUGUUAAACAUAGUGAUAUGCUGUUGUUAGAACAUUAGCACACAUCUUAUCUUAGAUGUAGCAAGGCAGUUCCUCAUUAAUGAAACUUAGGGCCAGGUUUAGUUUAGUGAGAAAACGUUAUUUUAUGGUUUAUCACGUGAAAACCUAUGGGCCAAGAUUCAAUUUGAGAUGCAAUUCAAUUCAGAAAAAC